RNAcentral lists this ribosomal RNA (491 nucleotides) under uncultured bacterium. RNAcentral describes it as "partial 16S ribosomal RNA". It matches the Rfam family "Bacterial small subunit ribosomal RNA", at positions 28 to 507 of the family's 1533-position model. The record is from RNAcentral.
GAUGAACGCUGGCUACAGGCUUAACACAUGCAAGUCGAGGGGAAACGACGGGGAAGCUUGCUUCCCCGGGCGUCGACCGGCGCACGGGUGAGUAACGCGUAUCCAACCUGCCUCUGACUGAGGGAUAACCCGUCGAAAGUCGGCCUAAUACCUCAUGGCAUCGUCUGCGGGCAUCCAACGACGAUUAAAGAUUUCUUCGGUCAGAGAUGGGGCUGCGUCUGAUUAGCUUGUUGGCGGGGUAACGGCCCACCAAGGCGACGAUCAGUAGGGGUUCUGAGAGGAAGGUCCCCCACAUUGGAACUGAGACACGGUCCAAACUCCUACGGGAGGCAGCAGUGAGGAAUAUUGGUCAAUGGGCGAGAGCCUGAACCAGCCAAGUGGCGUGCAGGAUGACGGCCCUAUGGGUUGUAAACUGCUUUUAGGCGGGGAUAAAGUGAGGGACGUGUCCUUCAUUGCAGGUACCGCAUGAAUAAGGACCGGCUAAUUCCGUG